Molecule: ribosomal RNA, 678 nt
Filed under: Azadinium spinosum
Lineage: Eukaryota; Dinophyceae; Gonyaulacales; Amphidomataceae
Description: partial large subunit ribosomal RNA
Rfam family: Eukaryotic large subunit ribosomal RNA
Source: RNAcentral
AACUAAACAGGAUUCCCUUAGUAAUGGCGAAUGAACAGGGAUGAGCUCAGCAUGGAAAUCGGGGUCUCCCGACCUUGAAUUGUAGUCUGUAGAUGUACUGCCAACGGAGGCGCAGAUGUAAGCCUCUUGGAAAAGAGCAUCAACGAGGGUGAGAGUCCCGUUUGUCAUCUGCAGUCCCCCGUGCACGGUGUGCCUUCUAAGAGUCACGUUCCUCGGGAUUGGAGCGCAAAGUGGGUGGUAAAUUUCAUCUAAAGCUAAAUAUUGGUUCGAGACCGAUAGCAAACAAGUACCAUGAGGGAAAGGUGAAAAGGACUUUGAAAAGAGAGUUAAAAGUGCCUGAAAUUGCUGAAAGGGAAGCGAAUGGAACCAGUGUUCUUGAUGAGAUUGUUGCGUACUCUGGUGAUUGCUGGGUGUUCCACCGCAAGGGGGGCAUCUAGUUUUGAGCUAGAUGUGCGUGGUGUUUCUUGUCUUGUGUGUCACCGUCGGUGCACGAGCGAGUAAACCUCCAGGGGGCUGGUAACUCGACCACGGUUGAGUGAAUACCUUUGGCAGUACUCAUUUGUGUAUCGAUCCCUGCGUGUCUGGUUGCAGUGUUUGGGUCGCCUGGAAACUCCUGAAGGGCUUGUCCUCGAAGGAGUCCUUUUGGGCGCCCUGAGCAUCUCCCUGACACAAAGACGA